Molecule: unclassified non-coding RNA, 240 nt
Filed under: soil metagenome
Description: partial contains 5.8S ribosomal RNA, internal transcribed spacer 2, and large subunit ribosomal RNA
Source: RNAcentral
AACGCACGAGACCUGCGGACCUGCGGAAGGAUCAUUACCGAGUGCGGGCCCUCUGGGUCCAACCUCCCACCCGUGUUUAUUGUACCUUGUUGCUUCGGCGGGCCCGCCAUUCUGGCCGCCGGGGGGCUUGCCCCCGGGCCCGCGCCCGCCGAAGACACCCUCGAACUCUGUCUGAAGAUUGUAGUCUGAGUGGAAUUAUAAAUUAUUAAAACUUUCAGCAAUGGAUCUCUAGAUCGGAAG